Mytilus trossulus (common blue mussel) is the source of this 181-nucleotide long non-coding RNA. RefSeq lists it as uncharacterized. The record is from RefSeq and is a predicted model, not a curated record. The transcript is spliced from 3 exons. NCBI's taxonomy places the organism in Eukaryota, Metazoa, Mollusca, Bivalvia, Mytilida, Mytilidae.
UAGGUAACACUAAGAAGACAUGUGAUGAUUGUUACGGUCAAACUACUGCACAAAGGAUCAAGAAAAAGAUAUAUAGCAUAUUGGAACAAAGACAAGAAAACUUGGAUGUGACCAGCUAUAUAAAAAAGAAGCCUACCUAUAGGUAUUCUAAUAGGGUUUUAAAGGCAACUAGAUUCAACCA